This 499-nucleotide ribosomal RNA is filed under the name uncultured bacterium. Its description in RNAcentral is "partial 16S ribosomal RNA". It matches the Rfam family "Bacterial small subunit ribosomal RNA", at positions 28 to 507 of the family's 1533-position model. The record is from RNAcentral.
GACGAACGCUGGCGGCGUGCCUAAUACAUGCAAGUCGAGCGAAGUUUUUCUGGUGCUUGCACUAGAAAAACUUAGCGGCGAACGGGUGAGUAACACGUAAAGAACCUGCCUCAUAGACUGGGACAACUAUUGGAAACGAUAGCUAAUACCGGAUAACAGUAUUUCUCGCAUGAGAGAUAUUUAAAAGUUGGUUAUGCUAACACUAUGAGAUAGCUUUGCGGUGCAUUAGCUAGUUGGUGGGGUAAAGGCCCACCAAGGCGACGAUGCAUAGCCGACCUGAGAGGGUGAUCGGCCACACUGGGACUGAGACACGGCCCAGACUCCUACGGGAGGCAGCAGUAGGGAAUCUUCCGCAAUGGGCGAAAGCCUGACGGAGCAACGCCGCGUGAGUGAAGAAGGAUUUCGGUUCGUAAAGCUCUGUUGUUAGGGAAGAAUGGAUAUGUAGUAACUAUACAUGUAAGAGACGGUACCUAACCAGAAAGCCACGGCUAACUACGUG